GAUGAACGCUAGCUACAGGCUUAACACAUGCAAGUCGAGCGAGCUUGCCUAGAUGAUUUUAGUGCUUGCACUAAAUGAAACUAGAUACAAGCGAGCGGCGGACGGGUGAGUAACACGUGGGUAACCUGCCCAAGAGACUGGGAUAACACCUGGAAACAGAUGCUAAUACCGGAUAACAACACUAGACGCAUGUCUAGAGUUUGAAAGAUGGUUCUGCUAUCACUCUUGGAUGGACCUGCGGUGCAUUAGCUAGUUGGUAAGGUAACGGCUUACCAAGGCAAUGAUGCAUAGCCGAGUUGAGAGACUGAUCGGCCACAUUGGGACUGAGACACGGGCCCAAACUCCUACGGGAGGCAGCAGUAGGGAAUCUUCCACAAUGGACGAAAGUCUGAUGGGAGCAACGCCGCGUGAGUGAAGGAAGGGUUUCGGCUCGUAAAAGCUCUGUUGGUAGUGAAAAGAAAAGAUAGAGGUAGUAAA
This 477-nucleotide ribosomal RNA is filed under the name uncultured bacterium. Its description in RNAcentral is "bacterial SSU rRNA". It matches the Rfam family "Bacterial small subunit ribosomal RNA", at positions 28 to 468 of the family's 1533-position model. The record is from RNAcentral.